Balaenoptera acutorostrata (minke whale) is the source of this 2283-nucleotide long non-coding RNA. RefSeq lists it as uncharacterized. Lineage: Eukaryota; Metazoa; Chordata; Mammalia; Artiodactyla; Balaenopteridae. The transcript is spliced from 2 exons. The record is from RefSeq and is a predicted model, not a curated record.
GGGAGCCAGCGCCGCGCAGCCUGGGCGGCCGGAGUCGGAGCAGGGGAGACGGGUUCAAAAAAUAAUUAAAAAUCGAGGAAAUACCCCAGACAAGCCCUUUCGCCGUGAAAACCCUACAGAGGACCCAGGCUACCCGCAGCGGAGGUUUGGGGUGCCGGGAAGGUCUGGACCGCGACCCCUGGGGCUUUGGAUACCGAGGGGGAAACUUGCAGGGGUGAGCGCGGCGGCGGGAGUGUCCGGCCGCGGCCCACAAGGGCAGAGGCCGGGGACGGUGGCGAAGAGCUGGGGGACAGACGAGGACGGGGAGCCGCCGGAGAGAGGCGCGGGGGGCUCCAGCCUCUCCUUCGGGGGGGACCCGCUAUCCCCCCUGCACACACCUCCUCCCCCCUCCCACCCCACCCAGAUCUCCGCACCCAGGAAACUGAAGGCCGAAACGAGGACAUAUGACAAAACUGGCUCCUACAAGACUGAUGUUGAAAAUUCACCUUCCAGAAGAUGCCCAGGCAUCCGUGUAGACUGGACUUGGUCUCUACCCUCUCUGUCCUGGGCAGUCAGACCUGGUGCCUGCUGGUGACCUCAAGCCAGAAGAAGCCUCUCGCCAAGAUCACCAAGAAGGUGGCAUUUGUUUCUCCGUGCUGGCUAAGCUAGGAAAGCCUGGCUUCGAGAGGUUUUUUUGUAACAAGAAUUGAAACCUAAAGGAUUUUUUUUUUCAAAUUAUCCUUCAGCUGCCAGAAAUGGAGUUUGGAAGAACUUCUCCAAACUCUGUAGGCUUUGGCCAAUGGACCUUUUACUGUAACAAGUACAUCAGAAGCCAGAAAUAAAUUGGGGAAGAAGGUACACACUUUACCAAAAGGUUUCUUGCUGAGCUAGACACUCUCCCACGGUGCAUCUUUAAACUGAGAGCGUUUCGGACACAUUUUAAAUGGCUUCAUUCACUUGAAAGUGAGAGCUGCCUGUUGCAUUCAGAAAAUCUGGUGAAGUGUACUUGAUUUUGAAAUCCUCAAAAAUCAUAUCACGUUCAAGCUGAAAAGGGCAUUUGAGUCUUAUCUCCUCCGUUUAAAGGAGAUGACACAGCGACCUGGGGAAAUUAAGUGACUUGGUGGCACCUCAAGGCUUUGUCUGCGGCAGGCCAUCCAGUUUCCAGCUUUCUCCCGUUACUGGGGGCCUUCUUUGCAUCCCAACUACCCGACCGUCCCUGGUUAGGACUCUCUACCUCGCCCUCAGCUGCUGUCAUGGAUGCCUGAUCAUUGAUUCCCUUCUGGAUUUUUUUGGUAUUGCUUUUUCCCGUUUUUAUGGAAAAUUUUCAAACAUAAAGGUAAAGAAUAUAAUAUAAAUAACUCCCAUGUGCUCUCACCCAGCUUCUACAAUUAUUAACAUAUGGCCAAUCUUCAUUUAUCCAUACCUAGCCCCAGAUUCCCCUGCUGCACAGAUGAUUUUAAAGCAAAUCCAAAUAUCACGCAAUUUCAUCUGUAAACACUCCAAGUGUACCCAUGGAAGAACCCUCUCAUACAUACAUAUACAUCUACAAUACAGUGAUCACAACUAACAAAAAUGAACGAUAAUUCCUUAAUAUCCAAUUUCCCCGAUUGUCCGUCUGUCACUCUUUUGCAAUUGAUUUGUUAGAAUAAGGAUCCAGCGGAAGGUUGGGUUGCAGGUAUCAGGUAGCAUGAUUAGCUGCUCGUUCCAAGUUCUUACAUGAGGAUGUUUGCUGAAUGAGAGGGAAUAAAUUACAUAAGAAAAAUGCUUUAUGAUAAUUAUAGAUCACAGUUAUCUAUACCUUUAUACUUCCUAAGGUUCUUGGACCCAUGACCUUCAUGUCUGGAGAUGUUAUGGGAUCCAAUUAGUGGUCAAGCAGAGACCACCUGUUUCCUGAAAACAACAAAGCACCAUGAUAACCUCCAACUCCUUAAAAUUCUAGCCUCUCCUUUUAAAAGGAGAGGCUCAAGAGAUUCUCACCCUCUUCGAGACACUUUUUUUAGAGAAGCUCCUGUAACCUUCACAGGAACCCUGUGAAGUAGGUGCCUUCAUUCUCAUUCCACUGAGGAAUCCCAGGCACAGAGGGGCUGAGACAUUUCCUCAAGGUCACCCAGCACUAGCAUUUAAACUCAACUCUGUAGUAUAUUAAUAUAUUACACCACCUGUAAUAUACUAGUAUCGAUUACAAGGCAACUGUAAUUUUCAGUGUUGAAAAGUCACCUCGAUUAACUUUUAUCAUUUUUCCCUUUUAGAAUAUGUCUUUGCUUUAUGAAAUAAAAUGCCGUUUAAGGCAACUUCGACUCUUCA